Molecule: transfer RNA, 71 nt
Filed under: Cordylochernes scorpioides
Lineage: Eukaryota; Metazoa; Arthropoda; Arachnida; Pseudoscorpiones; Chernetidae
Description: tRNA-Val
Source: RNAcentral
GUGGUGUGUGUAGCGGUUAUCACGUGUGCUUCACACGCACAAGGUCUCCAGUUCGUUCCCGGGCGGGAACU